UUGCGCUAAUACCGUAUACGCUCUUGCGAGGAAAGAUUUAUCGCCUUUAGACGGGCCCGCGUCGGAUUAGCUAGUUGGUAAGGUAACGGCUUACCAAGGCGACGAUCCGUAGCUGAUCUGAGAGGAUGAUCAGCCACACUGGGACUGAGACACGGCCCAGACUCCUACGGGAGGCAGCAGUGGGGAAUCUUGGACAAUGGGCGCAAGCCUGAUCCAGCCAUGCCGCGUGAGUGAAGAAGGCCUUCGGGUUGUAAAGCUCUUUUGUCAGGGACGAUAAUGACGGUACCUGAAGAAUAAGCCCCGGCAAACUUCGUGCCAGCAGCCGCGGUAAUACGAAGGGGGCUAGCGUUGUUCGGAAUUACUGGGCGUAAAGCGCACGUAGGCUGACAUUUAAGUCAGGGGUGAAAUCCCGAGGCUCAACCUCGGAACUGCCCUUGAUACUGGGUGUCUCGAGUCCGGAAGAGGUUAGUGGAAUUCCCAGUGUAGAGGUGAAAUUCGUAGAUAUUGGGAAGAACACCAGUGGCGAAGGCGGCUAACUGGUC
RNAcentral lists this ribosomal RNA (542 nucleotides) under Nordella sp. RNAcentral's name for it is "bacterial SSU rRNA". It matches the Rfam family "Bacterial small subunit ribosomal RNA", at positions 158 to 734 of the family's 1533-position model. Lineage: Bacteria; Pseudomonadati; Pseudomonadota; Alphaproteobacteria; Hyphomicrobiales. The record is from RNAcentral.